RNAcentral lists this ribosomal RNA (814 nucleotides) under uncultured microorganism. RNAcentral's name for it is "bacterial SSU rRNA". It matches the Rfam family "Bacterial small subunit ribosomal RNA", at positions 90 to 916 of the family's 1533-position model. The record is from RNAcentral.
GAUCAGUGGCGAACGGGUGAGUAACACGUGAGCCACCUGCCCUGGACUCUGGGAUAAGCGCUGGAAACGGCGUCUAAUACUGGAUAUGAGACGUGAUCGCAUGGUCGUGUUUGGAAAGAUUUUUCGGUCUGGGAUGGGCUCGCGGCCUAUCAGCUUGUUGGUGAGGUAAUGGCUCACCAAGGCGUCGACGGGUAGCCGGCCUGAGAGGGUGACCGGCCACACUGGGACUGAGACACGGCCCAGACUCCUACGGGAGGCAGCAGUGGGGAAUAUUGCACAAUGGGCGAAAGCCUGAUGCAGCAACGCCGCGUGAGGGAUGACGGCCUUCGGGUUGUAAACCUCUUUUAGCAGGGAAGAAGCGAAAGUGACGGUACCUGCAGAAAAAGCGCCGGCUAACUACGUGCCAGCAGCCGCGGUAAUACGUAGGGCGCAAGCGUUAUCCGGAAUUAUUGGGCGUAAAGAGCUCGUAGGCGGUUUGUCGCGUCUGCUGUGAAAUCCCGAGGCUCAACCUCGGGCCUGCAGUGGGUACGGGCAGACUAGAGUGCGGUAGGGGAGAUUGGAAUUCCUGGUGUAGCGGUGGAAUGCGCAGAUAUCAGGAGGAACACCGAUGGCGAAGGCAGAUCUCUGGGCCGUAACUGACGCUGAGGAGCGAAAGGGUGGGGAGCAAACAGGCUUAGAUACCCUGGUAGUCCACCCCGUAAACGUUGGGAACUAGUUGUGGGGACCAUUCCACGGUUUCCGUGACGCAGCUAACGCAUUAAGUUCCCCGCCUGGGGAGUACGGCCGCAAGGCUAAAACUCAAAGGAAUUGACGG